AACGAACGCUGGCGGCAUGCCUAACACAUGCAAGUCGAACGAGACCUUCGGGUCUAGUGGCGCACGGGUGCGUAACGCGUGGGAACCUGCCUUUAGGUUCGGAAUAACUCAGAGAAAUUUGAGCUAAUACCGGAUAAUGUCUUCGGACCAAAGAUUUAUCGCCUUUAGAUGGGCCCGCGUUGGAUUAGCUAGUUGGUGGGGUAAAGCCUACCAAGGCGACGAUCCAUAGCUGGUCUGAGAGGAUGAUCAGCCACACUGGGACUGAGACACGGCCCAGACUCCUACGGGAGGCAGCAGUGGGAAUAUUGGACAAUGGGCGAAAGCCUGAUCCAGCAAUGCCGCGUGAGUGAUGAAGG
Molecule: ribosomal RNA, 356 nt
Filed under: uncultured bacterium
Lineage: Bacteria
Description: bacterial SSU rRNA
Rfam family: Bacterial small subunit ribosomal RNA
Source: RNAcentral